UGAAAUGAAACAUCAUCAAGGGGAACGACAUAUACAUUAUCCGGUAUCUUCUUUCCUCCUAGAAUUUUCUUAUUUUUCGUGUUAGGGGCACAACUAUGUCAUUCAAAUUAUUCUUAACAUCUUCCUCUACAUCUUCUAGAACAUGAACCUUAUUUAGUUUUGGGACUUACUUUUUCUUCCAAGCUGAUUUUUCAAUUAUCACUCUCUUUUAUUCAUUUUUCUUCUUUUUAUUACUCUCCUCCAUUCUUCUUUGGGUUUU
This 259-nucleotide long non-coding RNA is filed under the name Lathyrus oleraceus (garden pea). Its description in RNAcentral is "Pisum sativum (pea) long non-coding RNA (PSAT_LNC007448)". Lineage: Eukaryota; Viridiplantae; Streptophyta; Magnoliopsida; Fabales; Fabaceae. The record is from RNAcentral.